UACGAAGGGAGCUAGCGUUGUUCGGAAUCACUGGGCGUAAAGCGCGCGCAGGCGGCUUUUCAAGUUAGAAGUGAAAGCCUGGGGCUCAACCCCAGAACUGCUUUUAAGACUGAGAGGCUAGAGUGUGGGAGAGGAUAGCGGAAUUCCGUGUGUAGAGGUGAAAUUCGUAGAUAUACGGAGGAACACCAAUGGCGAAGGCAGCUAUCUGGAACACAACUGACGCUGAGGCGCGAAAGUGUGGGGAUCAAACAGG
Molecule: ribosomal RNA, 253 nt
Filed under: uncultured bacterium
Lineage: Bacteria
Description: partial 16S ribosomal RNA
Rfam family: Bacterial small subunit ribosomal RNA
Source: RNAcentral